CCCUUAGAUGCUCUGGGCCGCACGCGCGCUACACUGGUCGAUGCAACGAGUUUCUUUCCUUGGCCGACAGGCCUGGGCAAUCUUUGAACAUCGAUCGUGAUCGGGAUAGAUUCUUGUAAUUUUUGAUCUUAAACGAGGAAUUCCUAGUAAACGCAAGACAUCAGCUUGCAUUGAUUACGUCCCUGCCCUUUGUACACACCGCCCGUCGCACCUACCGAUUGAAUGGUCCGGUGAAAUCUCCGGACUGGCGUGAGUCGGAGCAAUCUGACAAACACCGGAAAGUUGAUUAAACCUUACCAUUUAGAGGAAGGUGAAGUCGUAACA
This 324-nucleotide ribosomal RNA is filed under the name uncultured eukaryote. Its description in RNAcentral is "partial 18S ribosomal RNA". It matches the Rfam family "Eukaryotic small subunit ribosomal RNA", at positions 1470 to 1796 of the family's 1831-position model. The record is from RNAcentral.